RNAcentral lists this ribosomal RNA (484 nucleotides) under uncultured bacterium. RNAcentral's name for it is "partial 16S ribosomal RNA". It matches the Rfam family "Bacterial small subunit ribosomal RNA", at positions 28 to 507 of the family's 1533-position model. The record is from RNAcentral.
AUUGAACGCUGGCGGCAUGCUUUACACAUGCAAGUCGAACGGCAGCGCGGGCUUCGGCCUGGCGGCGCGUGGCGAACGGGUGAGUAAUGCAUCGGAACGUGCCCAGUAGUGGGGGAUAGUCCGGCGAAAGCCGGAUUAAUACCGCAUACGACCUGAGGGUGAAAGCGGGGGACCGAAAGGCCUCGCGCUAUUGGAGCGGCCGAUGUCGGAUUAGCUAGUUGGUGGGGUAAAGGCUUGCCAAGGCGACGAUCCGUAGCUGGUCUGGGAGGUGGACCAGCCACACUGGGACUGAGACACGGCCCAGGGUCCUACGGGAGGCAGCAGUGGGGAAUUUUGGACAAUGGGGGCAACCCUUACCCAGCCAGGCCGCGUGCGAGAAGGAGGCCUUCGGGUUGUAAACCGGUUUUGUUCGGGAAGAAAUCCUCUGGGCUAAUACCCCGGGGGGAUGACGGUACCGGAAGAAUAAGCACCGGCUAACUACGUG